This 1042-nucleotide long non-coding RNA is filed under the name Androctonus crassicauda. Lineage: Eukaryota; Metazoa; Arthropoda; Arachnida; Scorpiones; Buthidae. The record is from RNAcentral.
AAGAGAUUGAUAAAAUACAGAAUAGAGCUGUCUUUGAGAUGAAUAUUACAACUCAAAGAUGUAAAAAGCGGAAACUUUAUUUAGUCAAUCCGUCUUUUGAGAGAGAAAGGAAACGCGUGAAGUAUAAUGCUGAUCCAUCCAAAUGAAAAAAUAUUCCGCCAUCACAUAAAGAAAAUCACCGUCGGUAAAAGAAAAAACUCAUACAAGGAAAAUCUAUCUCCUGUUGGAAGAAAGGAAACAGAAUUCUUAAAAAUUCAUAGCCGAUCAGGGGCAAAGAAUUUCCUUUCAAGAAAAUCCAUACGUUGCGAAAUAAUGUUGCAAUUGCACCAAAACAUUUUGCCGAAUAUUCACCGCAUUUCUUAUUACGAAACACGCACCAAUUUGGCUACCAAUACAAAUAUAAAAUUCAAUUAACCAAACACAUUCAUUUAACUUUAAAAAGAGAAAUACAAAAUCGCAUAGUGAAAAAGGUGUCAAAAAUUACUUCACUUUAAGGAAACCGCGGGUUCGGAAAAUUGCUGUACCGCUUAAAAAUAAGGAUGAUGAUGAAAACCGCACCAAGGCUGAACAAACUCUUAAAUGGAAUUUGAGUAAGAGGAGUAAAUGUGUGACAGAUUCAAGAUUAGUCAUUAUUAUUAAAAGAAAUCUGAAUUUAAAAUAAAUAAAGCUAGCUUAAAAAUUCUUUGUGGCUCUACCACGCAUGCAGUAAGUUAUUAAUCAUAUAUGUUGUUUAUUCUAUUUAUUUUAACACUUCAUUAAUAAAUUGACCAUAAAUCUAAGAUACGAAAUUCGUUUAAAAAACUUUAUUGCAAAGCUAAAGACAACCAUGCAAAUCUUUUCAGAUGUAGACUUUGCUGCAAAAUUCCAUCUUUCACUGAAGCGUUAUUCGUUAAUCGAACAACUAUAUCAAAAAAUUUCAUAAAAUUGUAUUUAAUGUUACUUAAAUGUAGCAAUAAUAUCCCACCAAAAACAUCUUAUAUAUAAAAAAUAAACCAAGUACAGUGCUCUGAAAUUAGAACAUUUGUUGCAAUGUAUACGCGGG